GCUAGGAACACAAACAUUUCGCUACACCCGUAAAAACAUCUGCAAAAUAUGUGUAUGUGACCAAUACAAUUUGAUUUGAACAGACCUUGAGGUCGUCAGACACGUAGCCAUGUUAAAAUACUCCAAACCAGAAGGUGUCAGUAGCGUUGUACGGCAAUGCAUGUCUGUGUGUUGUUUAGUUCAUGGUCUAGAUUCCAAUGUUAGCUAGCUCCGCUGUUGUUGUUAUUUUGUAGAAAGCCGUUGUUGAUACUAUCCAGAUGGCCACAGCUAGAUAACUACAUAGCAAGAUGACGAAGAAGCACUUUAAUUCGAUCUCCAUAAUUUCACUACCAGCCCAUCGCUAGCUAGCUAACAUUAGCAUAUUCGCUAGCUAGCACAACAUAGCUAGUUGGCUAAGGACAAUGCUCCCGAGUGGCGCAGGCACUCGUCUCAGUGCUAGAGGCGUCACUACGUUCGAAUCCAGGCUGUAUCACAACUAGCCGUGAUUGGAAGUUCCAAAAGGGCGGCGCACAAUUGGCCUAGCGUCGCCCGGUUUUGGCCGGUGUAGGGCGUCAUUGUAAAUAAGAAUUUGUUGUUAACUGACUUGCCUAAUUAAAUAAAGGUACAAUUUAAAAGAUGCACCAACUCGGCAGCUGUUUCAUGGAAAGCAAUCCAUUGUGAUUUAAUUAUGUCAUUACUAGCUACAGUGGUUAGCUUCCUUGGAAGUAUUUAGUGUGCAUUGCGUCUGUGCACUUAGCUACUUACUAUCCCAUAUUGCAUAUGAAGUGUGACUGGCUCAUGACAUUUAACCAUGUAUGUAUGGAGAAUGUCAUUUUUUCAAUUUUGUUGUCACUCCUGUUGGCUCCCCACGUGGGGGUUCAUGCUCUCUGGUUGGCUCAAAGUCAAGUCAUUGUCCACUGACGAGCAUUGAGAUUCUGACAAGUAGAUAAGACAGGAUCGUCGCUAUGGUGUCUACACGUAGCAGGUACAGCAUUUGUUCUAGCAAUGACAAAACGGCCUCACACUGUGAUAAGUAUCAAGCAGCAGUCUAUCGUUAGUGAGAUUAUCAGUGUGUUUCAUGCUGAAAUUCAAAUGUACUUGUAUUCAACAUUCGUGAAACACAGUGCACGUGAAGCUAGCUGGAAGGUUUUCGGCAAAGGAUGUCUGUGCGCUGAUAAUGUCCAAGAGGGAUAGCAUCUGUGCAUCGCGACUAGGUGGUAUCCCAAAUCUUUCACUUUUAUACCUUCCUGAUUUCAUACCCGGAUAUGCGGUAUUAUCUCGGUAUACUUUAUACAAUGUGAAAUCGCCACAGUAAGUUCUCAGAUCUUCACAAUAUAUUGGGUUUAGGGGUCGAUUUGGGGACCAGUGUUUCCGCUGCAGUCAUUUAGCCUUGCAACAAUUAUUGCCGCCAGGCCCUAAAAACAUGGACCCUGGAAUAAUAUUUCUGCCGAAACGCACUUUGAAGAUGCUAUAACAGUUCACAUUUACUAAUGAAUAGAAUAAUCCGACAACCCCAUAGUAGAGUAGUUUAUCUAUUUACCUAUCCGGCUUGUGUGUUGGUUAUGAGAAAUAUUCAUGUUGCAGAAACAUCCAAGCAGUCAAUGCACAACAAUUCUUAAUGCAAUCUCGAGAAAACAGCAGUUUUUUAAUAGCCUUUGUUAAAAAGAUGGGGAUCUGCACCAUUUUAAAGUGUUUAACAGUGUCAUGGUUAAGGAGAGUGGGGCUAAAUGUAAACACAGUACCUUGGGGUAAAACGCCACCCUACCUACAAAAUAUUUCUGGGGGACUUAAAAAAUGGUGAGACUGAUUACAUUUUAGUUGAGCAAGAGUAGUGGCAACCAGGGAAAGUGUUUGGAAGAAUUGUGGUUUCUGUGAGAAACCAUGGUCCGUUUACAUGUUACCCUGGCUGGCGGCAUACUACCAAGUUACCCUAACAGGUCAGUCUGUGCUGUCAGAGACAGGCCAAGAGAAAUGGGGACAGUGUGACCAGAGCUGCAGAUGUCAUCAGACAACUCCACACCAGGGCAAUGACAAGAGAAACAACAUGCUUUCACCUUUUUCAAUAAACUUAACUGGACUUUUCAUCCUGA
This is a long non-coding RNA of Oncorhynchus mykiss (rainbow trout), 2069 nucleotides long. RefSeq lists it as uncharacterized. The record is from RefSeq and is a predicted model, not a curated record. Lineage: Eukaryota; Metazoa; Chordata; Actinopteri; Salmoniformes; Salmonidae.